AAGAAGGAGAUGAGAGGAACAUUUUUAAAACGCCAUGUAGAUCGCCUCGUGGUUAUUUUUAUUGUUUUAAAGAUAAUAACCAGAACUGCAGGAGGAUCUCUGUGACUCCCGGUCAGCCUGAGGGACAUAGUGAGACUUUGUUUUAAAGAGGUUAGAACCACGUUGGUUCUUGUAUUUGGAAGGUUUGUUUGAGGGCCUGAAGACUGCUAAGCAGCUAAAAGCACUUGCUGUUCUUCCUGAGGGCUGGACUUCUGUUCCCAACAUCCACAAGGCGGCUCACAGCCACCUGAAAUUUCAGUUCCCCCCUCCUGGCCUCCACCGGCCCUGCACAUGCAUGCGCGCAGGCAUGAGGCAAAACACCCGCACAUACAUACAUACUGGGUUAGCAGCAAACUUAAGCAACUUUUCUCGAAGGAAGAGAGACCUGCCCUGGUCAUUUGAGGAAUAGGAUGGAUGCGGUAUUGUGGACUCUGCUCAGGCUGAGCGGCAGGCAGUUAUUAAAUAAGGUGUGGCACCAGGCCUGUGACCCAGAACUUGAGAAGCUGGAGCAGAAGACAGCUGUGACCUCAAAGACCACCGAGGUUACAUAAUGAACUCAGCCUGGACAAGAGGUCUCUCCUGAAGUUACAUUCAAGAUGGUAUCUAGACUGGGAUCAUGCAAAAGCUUGACAGUGAUGGAAGGACCUGUUUCCAAGCCAUCUGAUUUUUAUACCGCCAUAUUCGUGCUCUUUGCUAACAGAAGACCCAGUUCCCUGACACCUAAAACUCACCAUGGAACAACAUAAGUUUCCUUACAAUACAACAACUGACUUCCCGCAAGUGAGCA
Molecule: long non-coding RNA, 826 nt
Filed under: Cricetulus griseus (Chinese hamster)
Lineage: Eukaryota; Metazoa; Chordata; Mammalia; Rodentia; Cricetidae
Description: lncRNA (ENSCGRG00015040167.1)
Source: RNAcentral